ACAAUUAGUUGGAGCUUCUUUGGUCAACAGCAGAUGUGACUAAGAAAAUCACGCUGUUUCAUUUAGAGCAGUGGAUCACCAAGUGUGGUCCUCAGGCCACACAGCUCGGCAUUACCUAGGAACUAGGAAAUGCAAGUUCGUAAGCAACCCCACCCAGACCUACUGAAUUGGAAGUGCUGAGGAUAGGGUCCAGCAAUCUGUGGUUGAACAAGCUCUGCAGUUAUCUACAAUAGGAAGGAGAAAAGACAGAUGCCUAGCUUGUCACAUCUGGUACCAUGUUCUUCAGGAUCAAGCUUUUCCCAAACAGCAAGCUCAGGUGACCUCGGUGCUGCGGACUCACCCCUAAGUCCGCAAAUGGCCCAUCGAGCAGAGCUAACUGGGCCACGCGGCAGCGGUCCCUAUUGGCCAGUGUCUGCGGGGUGCUGUAGCCACCUCU
RNAcentral lists this non-coding RNA (436 nucleotides) under Pongo abelii (Sumatran orangutan). The record is from RNAcentral. Lineage: Eukaryota; Metazoa; Chordata; Mammalia; Primates; Hominidae.